Molecule: ribosomal RNA, 1485 nt
Filed under: Synechococcus sp. GFB01
Lineage: Bacteria; Bacillati; Cyanobacteriota; Cyanophyceae; Synechococcales; Synechococcaceae
Description: Bacterial small subunit ribosomal RNA
Rfam family: Bacterial small subunit ribosomal RNA
Source: Rfam by way of RNAcentral
ACAACGGAGAGUUUGAUCCUGGCUCAGGAUGAACGCUGGCGGCGUGCUUAACACAUGCAAGUCGAACGAACCNUCGGGUUAGUGGCGGACGGGUGAGUAACGCGUGAGAAUCUGCCCUCAGGAGGGGGAUAACGGCUGGAAACGGCCGCUAAUACCCCAUAUGCCGAGAGGUGAAAUGAAUUUCGCCUGAGGAUGAGCUCGCGUCUGAUUAGCUAGUUGGUGGGGUAAGAGCCUACCAAGGCGUCGAUCAGUAGCUGGUCUGAGAGGAUGAUCAGCCACACUGGGACUGAGACACGGCCCAGACUCCUACGGGAGGCAGCAGUGGGGAAUUUUCCGCAAUGGGCGAAAGCCUGACGGAGCAACGCCGCGUGAGGGAUGAAGGCCUCUGGGCUGUAAACCUCUUUUCUCAAGGAAGAAGAUCUGACGGUACUUGAGGAAUAAGCCACGGCUAAUUCCGUGCCAGCAGCCGCGGUAAUACGGGAGUGGCAAGCGUUAUCCGGAAUUAUUGGGCGUAAAGCGUCCGCAGGCGGCCUCGUAAGUCUGUUGUCAAAGCGUGGAGCUUAACUCCAUUUCGGCAAUGGAAACUGUGAGGCUUGAGUGUGGUAGGGGCAGAGGGAAUUCCCGGUGUAGCGGUGAAAUGCGUAGAUAUCGGGAAGAACACCAGUGGCGAAGGCGCUCUGCUGGGCCAUAACUGACGCUCAUGGACGAAAGCCAGGGGAGCGAAAGGGAUUAGAUACCCCUGUAGUCCUGGCCGUAAACGAUGAACACUAGGUGUCGGGGGAAUCGACCCCCUCGGUGUCGUAGCCAACGCGUUAAGUGUUCCGCCUGGGGAGUACGCACGCAAGUGUGAAACUCAAAGGAAUUGACGGGGGCCCGCACAAGCGGUGGAGUAUGUGGUUUAAUUCGAUGCAACGCGAAGAACCUUACCAGGGUUUGACAUCCUGCGAACCCCUGAGAAAUCGGGGGGUGCCUUCGGGAGCGCAGUGACAGGUGGUGCAUGGCUGUCGUCAGCUCGUGUCGUGAGAUGUUGGGUUAAGUCCCGCAACGAGCGCAACCCACGUCUUUAGUUGCCAGCAUUCAGUUGGGCACUCUAGAGAGACCGCCGGUGAUAAACCGGAGGAAGGUGUGGAUGACGUCAAGUCAUCAUGCCCCUUACAUCCUGGGCUACACACGUACUACAAUGCUACGGACAAAGGGCAGCAAACUCGCGAGAGCUAGCAAAUCCCAUAAACCGUGGCUCAGUUCAGAUCGUAGGCUGCAACUCGNCUACGUGAAGGAGGAAUCGCUAGUAAUCGCAGGUCAGCAUACUGCGGUGAAUACGUUCCCGGGCCUUGUACACACCGCCCGUCACACCAUGGAAGUUGGCCACGCCCGAAGCCGUUACUCCAACCCUUGUGGAGGAGGACGUCGAAGGUGGGGCUGAUGACUGGGGUGAAGUCGUAACAAGGUAGCCGUACCGGAAGGUGCGGCUGGAUCACCUCCUAA